UGGAAUCAAUGGUUCCUCUCACCGUGGGGCUAACUGGGUUGCUGAGGACACCUGUUGACUAGAGCCAUGACCCCUUCCUCCUGAGAGCCUAGAUGUCCCCUGAGCCAACCACCCAUUCAUCCUGGGCAGUUCUGGCUUGGCCCAGUGGCUCACCCCGGGUCACAGGGCACAUUUCUGAUCAUGGCCUCUUCUCUCCAUCCUCAGCCCAGAGAGAGGAUUCUGUCCUGAUCUCACUGCCAGCCUCCGCCACCUGGAGCCAAGGAUCGGGCUCCUGGCUCACCAGAGCCCCGGAGGAAAUGUCUGCAUGCUGAGUCAGCGAGGCCCGCAGCGAGGGUCGGCAUCAUGGCCAUUAUACAGAUGAGGAGCCCAAGGCUCGGAGACUAGGAGCAGCUUGUCUGCGGGCUGUGCUUCUGCAGCAGGCACACACUCCAGCCAGGGCUGUUGAGUGGACUCAGGACCCUCCCACUAUGUUCAUGCUCGUUGGAGGCAAAGCCACAACAAACCUUAGCCACAUGAACCACGGAGGGCAGCACCCAGAGCAGAGAGUGACUUCAGCAGCCCCUGAGAACCAAGCGAACCUCUCCAGAGUCUGGAGGCCCAGCCGGGGGAGCUGCCGGAGCCCUCGGAGGGAGGGAGAGCCGUAACUUCAAAGGCCAUGUCACUGAGAAUUCCAGCUACAGCCUUCCAGGUUUGCUUUUGGCUUCAUUUCUUGGACUCACUUGGCUCUGGGAACUGAGGUUUUACUUGUAUGUACGGAGAAGAUACUGCUGCUUUUUUCCACUGGGGGGAAAAUGCCACCUUCGCUAAAUGGUGUGUGGCCAUUUUCCAAAUUCCUUUACAUGGAUCCAUUCAUCCUCACAUCAACCCCAUGAAAUGCCUUCAUGUACUCUUGUCCCCAUAUUACAGAUGGAAUCAUUGAACCUGAGGCAUUCUGGGAGCUGUCCAGGGAGCACAGAACAGGGCUGGCUCUGCUUCAAAGGUCUCGCUGGGCCACCACAGUGAGGGGAAAAUUAUGUGAUACGGGGAGUGGCUCCCAGAUUCCAGAAUAUAAAUCUCACCAAGCCAGAGCCCAGCAAACCAAGUCCUCCCAGAUUCUGCCUUCGUCCUUUGCCUUUUCUGUGAAGGAGGCAGUUUCAGAAGGCAUGGAAGUAAACUAAGAUUUGAACUUUUCCUCCGAAGAAGUGGUCCCCACAUACGUCUUUAGGACUGGUCAGCGCCUCCUCACGUCUUGCUCUCCUCCUCCUUCUGUGGGCUUUCUGUCGCUGGGGUGCAGCGUUAACAUUCAGAACCACCAGCAAUGAUGCGAACUGUGUCCACUGAUAUUGCAGAAAGAUUAUCGGCCACGGGCAGAGAAGAGGAAGCAAUUUGGGGUCCUGCUUUACUCCCUAACGGAAGAGCCCCUGCCCCAUUCCUCUGGCCAGCCAAAGUCUCCUGGCCGACAGUCCCAAGGCUUGGCGAUCAGGUCACUGUUGGGGGAGAUGCCACACUGCGUGGGAGGGGCCUCCAGCCGCAGCAACCACUCUUCUGGUGUGUGGCAGUGGGGUUCAGUCCCAUCAGCACACCAUGUUGCCAUGUGGUUUGCGCAGCUUUCCUUCAGAGCAGAGGUGGUCCUGGCCCCCACGCAUUCCAUUCCUCAAGUGUAUCUGUGGGUGUGUGUGUUGGGGGGUCGUGCUGCGCUGGGUGCCGUAACCAGCUUCUCUCCUUGAGACAGCUCAGACGGACCUCGGCUGGGCUCCUUGCCUUGCUGGGAA
Ailuropoda melanoleuca (giant panda) is the source of this 1751-nucleotide long non-coding RNA. RefSeq lists it as uncharacterized. Lineage: Eukaryota; Metazoa; Chordata; Mammalia; Carnivora; Ursidae. The record is from RefSeq and is a predicted model, not a curated record. The transcript is spliced from 3 exons.